RNAcentral lists this long non-coding RNA (210 nucleotides) under Elaeis guineensis (African oil palm). RNAcentral describes it as "long non-coding RNA (EGUI_LNC068992)". Lineage: Eukaryota; Viridiplantae; Streptophyta; Magnoliopsida; Arecales; Arecaceae. The record is from RNAcentral.
AUAUAUCAUCCAUAUGCCAUACUCGUGUCACCACACAUCUUGGUUAAAAGGAUAACCAACUAAGAUGGCAUACCACAACCUACCCUCGAUACAGUUAUCAUCCUUGUAAUAAUUAUAUCAUUUAAUCACGAGCAGAAUUUAAGAACCACACGAUAAAUCUUUCUUUAUCAUUUUGAUAGUAGUUCUAAAGAAUUCAUCAUAAUGUAUGAG